RNAcentral lists this ribosomal RNA (567 nucleotides) under uncultured archaeon. RNAcentral describes it as "bacterial SSU rRNA". It matches the Rfam family "Archaeal small subunit ribosomal RNA", at positions 326 to 899 of the family's 1478-position model. The record is from RNAcentral.
CGGGGUGCAGCAGGCGCGAAAACUUUACAAUGCGGGAAACCGUGAUAAGGGGACACCGAGUGCCAGCAUCAUAUGCUGGCUGUCCAGGUGUGUAAAAUACACCUGUUAGCAAGGGCCGGGCAAGACCGGUGCCAGCCGCCGCGGUAACACCGGCGGCCCGAGUGGUGAUCGUGAUUAUUGGGUCUAAAGGGUCCGUAGCCGGUUUGGUCAGUCCUCCGGGAAAUCUGAUAGCUUAACUAUUAGGCUUUCGGAGGAUACUGCCAGACUUGGAACCGGGAGAGGUAAGAGGUACUACAGGGGUAGGAGUGAAAUCUUGUAAUCCCUGUGGGACCACCUGUGGCGAAGGCGUCUUACCAGAACGGGUUCGACGGUGAGGGACGAAAGCUGGGGGCACGAACCGGAUUAGAUACCCGGGUAGUCCCAGCCGUAAACGAUGCUCGCUAGGUGUCAGGCAUGGCGCGACCGUGUCUGGUGCCGCAGGGAAGCCGUGAAGCGAGCCACCUGGGAAGUACGGCCGCAAGGCUGAAACUUAAAGGAAUUGGCGGGGGAGCACAAGGGCAAUUCGCG